RNAcentral lists this ribosomal RNA (251 nucleotides) under Hygrocybe cf. conica sp. 3 CRJH-2017. Its description in RNAcentral is "partial 28S ribosomal RNA". It matches the Rfam family "Eukaryotic large subunit ribosomal RNA", at positions 104 to 344 of the family's 3401-position model. Lineage: Eukaryota; Fungi; Basidiomycota; Agaricomycetes; Agaricales; Hygrophoraceae. The record is from RNAcentral.
AGAGCUCAAAUUUAAAAUCUGGUGGUCCUUCUGGGCUGUCCGAGUUGUAAUCUAGAGAAGUGCUUUCCGCGCUGGACCGUGUACAAGUCUCUUGGAAUGGAGCGUCAUAGAGGGUGAGAAUCCCGUCUUUGACACGGACUGCCAGGGCUUCUGUGAUGCACUCUCAAAGAGUCGAGUUGUUUGGGAAUGCAGCUCAAAAUGGGUGGUAAAUUCCAUCUAAAGCUAAAUAUAGGCGAGAGACCGAUAGCGAA